UACGUAGGGUGCAAGCGUUAAUCGGAAUUACUGGGCGUAAAGCGUGCGCAGGCGGUUUUGUAAGACAGGCGUGAAAUCCCCGGGCUCAACCUGGGAAUGGCGCUUGUGACUGCAAGGCUGGAGUGCGGCAGAGGGGGAGUGGAAUUCCGCGUGUAGCAGUGAAAUGCGUAGAUAUGCGGAGGAACACCAAUGGCGAAGGCAAAUCCCCUCGGGCGUCGCACUGACGCUCAUGCACGAAAGACGUGGGGAGGCAAACAAGGAG
RNAcentral lists this ribosomal RNA (262 nucleotides) under uncultured bacterium. RNAcentral describes it as "partial 16S ribosomal RNA". It matches the Rfam family "Bacterial small subunit ribosomal RNA", at positions 524 to 779 of the family's 1533-position model. The record is from RNAcentral.